AUGCUGCCAAGAAAAGCCUCUAGCGAGCUUCGAGCGGCCCGUACCCCAAACCGACACAGGUGGUCAGGUAGAGAAUACCGAGGCGAUCGGGCGAACUGUGGUUAAGGAACUCGGCAAAUUACCCCCGUAACUUCGGGAGAAGGGGGGCCACAGACCGUGAAACCCCAUGCGGGUGGCAGCAGUAGGUGGCCGCAGAGACCAGGGGGAAGCGACUGUUUACUAAAAACACAGGUCCGUGCGAAGUCGUAAGACGAUGUAUACGGACUGACGCCUGCCCGGUGCUGGAACGUUAAGGGGACCGGUUAGUCCGCAAGGGCGAAGCUGAGAACUUAAGCGCCAGUAAACGGCGGUGGUAACUAUAACCAUCCUAAGGUAGCGAAAUUCCUUGUCGGGUAAGUUCCGACCUGCACGAAUGGCGUAACGACUUCCCUACUCUCAACCACAGGCCCGGCGAAAUUGCACUACGAGUAAAGAUGCUCGUUACGCGCGGAAGGACGGAAAGACCCCGGGACCUUCACUAUAGCUUGACAUUGGUAUCCGAAUUGAAUUGUGUAGGAUAGGUGGGAGACUAUGAAGCUCGGACGCCAGUCCGGGUGGAGUCAACGUUGAAAUACCACUCUGUUGAAUUUGGGUAUCUAACUUCGGACCGUGAUCCGGUUCAGGGACAGUGUCUGGUGGGUAGUUUAACUGGGGCGGUUGCCUCCUAAAAUGUAACGGAGGCGCCCAAAGGUUCCCUCAGCCUGGUUGGCAAUCAGGUGUUGAGUGCAAGUGCACAAGGGAGCUUGACUGUGAGACUGACAGGUCGAGCAGGGACGAAAGUCGGGACUAGUGAUCCGGCACCGGCGAGUGGAAGCGGUGUCGCUCAACGGAUAAAAGGUACCCCGGGGAUAACAGGCUGAUCUUCCCCAAAAGUCCAUAUCGACGGGAUGGUUUGGCACCUCGAUGUCGGCUCGUCGCAUCCUGGGGCUGGAGUAGGUCCCAAGGGUUGGGCUGUUCGCCCAUUAAAGCGGCACGCGAGCUGGGUUUAGAACGUCGUGAGACAGUUCGGUCCCUAUCCUCCGCGCGCGCAGGAGACUUGAGAAGAGCUGUCCCUAGUACGAGAGGACCGGGACGGACGAACCUCUGGUGUGCCAGUUGUCAUGCCAAUGGCACGGCUGGUUAGCUACGUUCGGAAGGGAUAACCGCUGAAAGCAUCUAAGCGGGAAGCUCGCUUCAAGAUGAGGUCUCCCACCCCCUCGAGGGUUAAGGCCCCCAGCAAGACCACUGGGUUGAUAGGCCAGAAGUGUAAGCCUGGUAACAGGUUCAGCCGACUGGUACUAAUAGGCCGAGGACUUCACCU
This 1339-nucleotide ribosomal RNA is filed under the name metagenome. Its description in RNAcentral is "bacterial LSU rRNA". It matches the Rfam family "Bacterial large subunit ribosomal RNA", at positions 1602 to 2925 of the family's 2925-position model. The record is from RNAcentral.